CCUACGGGAGGCAGCAGUGAGGAAUAUUGCGCAAUGGGGGAAACCCUGACGCAGCAACGCCGCGUGGGCGAUGAAGGCCUUCGGGUUGUAAAGCUCUGUCAGAGGGGAAGAAAUGCAGGUGGUGAACAACCAUUCUGUUUGACGGUACCCUCAAAGGAAGCACCGGCUAACUCCGUGCCAGCAGCCGCGGUAAUACGGAGGGUGCGAGCGUUGUUCGGAAUUAUUGGGCGUAAAGCGCGUGUAGGCGGUUUGUUAAGUCUGAGGUAAAAGCCCCGGGCUCAACCGGGGAAGUGCAUUGGAUACUGGCAGACUUGAGUACGGGAGAGGAGAGUGGAAUUCCCAGUGUAGGAGUGAAAUCCGUAGAUAUUGGGAGGAACACCGGUGGCGAAGGCGGCUCUCUGGACCGAUACUGACGCUGAGACGCGAAAGCGUGGGGAGCAAACAGGAUUAGAUCCCCCUGUAGU
RNAcentral lists this ribosomal RNA (464 nucleotides) under uncultured Geobacteraceae bacterium. RNAcentral describes it as "partial 16S ribosomal RNA". It matches the Rfam family "Bacterial small subunit ribosomal RNA", at positions 338 to 794 of the family's 1533-position model. The record is from RNAcentral. Lineage: Bacteria; Pseudomonadati; Thermodesulfobacteriota; Desulfuromonadia; Geobacterales; Geobacteraceae.